GGAAGGGUGGCAGAGUGGUCUAUUGUAUCUGAUUCGAAAUCAGACGUAGGGCAACCUACCGUGGGUUCGAAUCCCACCCCUUCCGCCA
Molecule: transfer RNA, 88 nt
Filed under: Verrucomicrobiaceae bacterium
Lineage: Bacteria; Pseudomonadati; Verrucomicrobiota; Verrucomicrobiia; Verrucomicrobiales; Verrucomicrobiaceae
Description: tRNA-Ser
Rfam family: tRNA
About the family: Transfer RNA (tRNA) molecules are approximately 80 nucleotides in length. Their secondary structure includes four short double-helical elements and three loops (D, anti-codon, and T loops).
Source: RNAcentral